AGAGUUUGAUCAUGGCUCAGAACGAACGCUGGCGGCGCGUCUUAAGCAUGCAAGUCGAGCGGUAAGAUAGUAGCUUGCUAUUAUCCUAGAGCGGCGGACUGGUGAGUAACGCGUGGGUGACGACCCUUUUGACGGGGAUAGCCUGUGGAAACACAGGGUAAUACCGGAUAAGCUGGCUUGUGUCAGAGGCAAGUCAGGAAAGGUCUUUUGAACCGCGAAAGGAGCGGCCCGCGUGCUAUUAGUUAGUUGGCGGGGUAACGGCCCACCAAGACGACGAUAGCUACCCGGCCUAAGAGGGUGAACGGGCACAUUGGGACUGAGAUACGGCCCAGACUCCUACGGGAGGCAGCAGCUAAGAAUAUUCCGCAAUGGACGAAAGUCUGACGGAGCGACGCCGCGUGGAUGAUGAAGGCCGGAAGGUUGUAAAAUCCUUUUGGAAGCGAGGAAUAAUUAAAGUGAGAGAAACGCUUUGAGGUGACGGUAGCUUCUGAAUAAGCAACGGCUAAUUACGUGCCAGCAGCAGC
RNAcentral lists this ribosomal RNA (524 nucleotides) under uncultured bacterium. RNAcentral's name for it is "bacterial SSU rRNA". It matches the Rfam family "Bacterial small subunit ribosomal RNA", at positions 8 to 518 of the family's 1533-position model. The record is from RNAcentral.